UCACAUGUGACCUCAUAACCUUUUUUAUUAUUAUUCUACAUGUUAUGGGUGUCAUUGUAAAUUACUCUGAAAUAUUAUUAAAUACUUUUCAGUAUUCACUUAAACAAGGUUAUUUAUAAUCAAAUUUUUUUUCUCUCAUUUCAUCCUAUUGGAUUUAUUAUUCACUGUGCUUCUUGAAGUGCAUUCUGGGAUUGCCAUCUCUGUGGAGAAUACAUGUGAUGCUGCUUUAGAAUUUGGCCAGAAUUAGAUAUCUAAUGAGGCAGCAUAAUUAAGAUUGGAAUUAAGGUUUGGAACAGCCUUCACAUCGGGAGCGUGCCCAUCAUGCCUUAGAAUGCUGCCUCCAUAGUUUUGGAACAGUGCGUGUGAGUUUGUGUGAGGACAAGGAAGACGCAGACAGACGGCCCGAGAGUGUGUUAGCAUCUGUGCUGUAGGAGAGAAAGAUAGCAAAUAAGAGUGAAUGGUGGAGUGUAACUGCGCGCUGAAGACUCAGGGGGUUGUCAGAGACACAUCACAGCAUGCUGCAGAAGUCGCGUCGAACGUAUAACUAACGUUCUCUCGGUGCGUCUGUAAGUGGAAGCUGUCAGGACGUGCUUGUUGACUGUCGGCUCAGGCUCGAAAUCCCAAUUAGAUGGACAUGGCAGAUUCGGCAAGUAUACGGGACGGAAAACAGCUCGCGGUACGGUUAUCGCUACAGAUGUGGGAGGAUGUGCCGACCUCUUUCAAUUUCCAUGGGUUUUAUACUGAUGACAACUAGAUUUUCUGAAGAAAAUGUGAUCGGCACUUGCAGUGCAAAAAACAAGCUGCCAUGAUGCUAAAGCAUUUUGGGUGACUGCCAGAAUGUUGCUAUGCAGUUUACAAGGCGUUCUGAGUCAUUGUCAUCAUGUUGAGAACAAACCAUAUGAAUUGAGGCGUGAGGCGGAAGUCUACUUCAAUCCCAUCAGGGGACGACCACCCAAACAGCAGCUGUGCUUUCUACCACCCUGAAACUGGCAAAGCCGUCUUCAAAGCGAUGGGACAGAUGUGCCCCGAGAUUAGUUUUUGGCAGACGAAGUGCGUCUGUUCGGGCGGCUGAUCACACAAGGUUGAGUACAUGUAUUCAGAUAGGAACUUGCUUUGGAGGACCAGGUGCGUGAUUGC
Long non-coding RNA from Cyprinus carpio carpio, 1137 nucleotides. The record is from Ensembl. Lineage: Eukaryota; Metazoa; Chordata; Actinopteri; Cypriniformes; Cyprinidae.